GAUGAACGCUGGCGGCGUGCCUAAUACAUGCAAGUCGAGCGAACGGACGAGAAGCUUGCUUCUCUGAUGUUAGCGGCGGACGGGUGAGUAACACGUGGAUAACCUACCUAUAAGACUGGGAUAACUUCGGGAAACCGGAGCUAAUACCGGAUGAUAUUUUGAACCGCAUGGUUCAAAAGUGAAAGACGGUCUUGCUGUCACUUAUAGAUGGAUCCGCGCUGCAUUAGCUAGUUGGUAAGGUAACGGCUUACCAAGGCAACGAUGCAUAGCCGACCUGAGAGGGGGAUCGGCCACACUGGACCUGAGACACGGUCCAGACUCCUACGGGAGGCAGCAGUAGGGAAUCUUCCGCAAUGGGCGGAAGCCUGACGGAGCAACGCCGCGUGAGUGAUGAAGGUCUUCGGAUCGUAAAACUCUGUUAUUAGGGAAGAACAUAUGUGUAAGUAACUGUGCACAUCUUGACGGUACCUAAUCAGAAAGCCACGGCUAACUACGUG
Molecule: ribosomal RNA, 497 nt
Filed under: uncultured bacterium
Lineage: Bacteria
Description: partial 16S ribosomal RNA
Rfam family: Bacterial small subunit ribosomal RNA
Source: RNAcentral